AGGACGAACGCUGGCGGCGUGCCUAACACAUGCAAGUCGAACGGGACCAGGGGCAACUCUGGUUCAGUGGCGGACGGGUGCGUAACACGUGAGGAACAUGACCUUCGGCGGGGGAUAGCCGGCCCAACGGCCGGGUAAUACCGCGUACGACCAUCCGGGGACAUCCCUGGGUGGUGAAAGCAGCAAUGCGCCGAUGGAGUGCCUCGCGGCCUAUCAGCUAGUUGGUGAGGUAACGGCUCACCAAGGCGACGACGGGUAGCUGGU
This 264-nucleotide ribosomal RNA is filed under the name uncultured soil bacterium. RNAcentral's name for it is "partial 16S ribosomal RNA". It matches the Rfam family "Bacterial small subunit ribosomal RNA", at positions 26 to 291 of the family's 1533-position model. The record is from RNAcentral.